CGCGGGGUGGAGCAGCCUGGUAGCUCGCAAGGCUCAUAACCUUGAGGUCGACCGUCCAAAUCGGUCCCCCGCAA
This 74-nucleotide transfer RNA is filed under the name Candidatus Omnitrophota bacterium. Its description in RNAcentral is "tRNA-Met". It matches the Rfam family "tRNA". From Rfam's summary of the family: Transfer RNA (tRNA) molecules are approximately 80 nucleotides in length. Lineage: Bacteria; Pseudomonadati; Candidatus Omnitrophota. The record is from RNAcentral.